RNAcentral lists this ribosomal RNA (482 nucleotides) under uncultured bacterium. RNAcentral describes it as "partial 16S ribosomal RNA". It matches the Rfam family "Bacterial small subunit ribosomal RNA", at positions 30 to 507 of the family's 1533-position model. The record is from RNAcentral.
AUUGAACGCUGGCGGCAUGCCUUACACAUGCAAGUCGAACGGUAACAGGUCUUCGGAUGCUGACGAGUGGCGCACGGGUGAGUAAUACAUCGGAACGUGCCCGAUCGUGGGGGAUAACGGAGCGAAAGCUUUGCUAAUACCGCAUACGAUCUACGGAUGAAAGCAGGGGACCGCAAGGCCUCUCGCGGACGGAGCGGCCGAUGGCAGAUUAGGUAGUUGGUGGGAUAAAAGCUUACCAAGCCGACGAUCUGUAGCUGGUCUGAGAGGACGACCAGCCACACUGGGACUGAGACACGGCCCAGACUCCUACGGGAGGCAGCAGUGGGGAAUUUUGGACAAUGGGCGAAAGCCUGAUCCAGCCAUGCCGCGUGCAGGAUGAAGGCCUUCGGGUUGUAAACUGCUUUUGUACGGAACGAAAAGACUCUUUCUAAUAAAGAGGGUCCAUGACGGUACCGUAAGAAUAAGCACCGGCUAACUACGUG